GACGAACGCUGGCGGCGUGCUUAACACAUGCAAGUCGAACGGAAAGGCUCCAGCUUGCUGGAGUACUCGAGUGGCGAACGGGUGAGUAACACGUGGGUAAUCUGCCCUGCACUCUGGGAUAAGCCUGGGAAACUGGGUCUAAUACUGGAUAUGACCUUUCUCCUUAUGGGGUUUGGUGGAAAGUUUUUCGGUGUAGGAUGAGCCCGCGGCGUAUCAGCUUGUUGGUGGGGUGAUGGCCUACCAAGGCGACGACGGGUAGCCGGCCUGAGAGGGUGAUCGGCCACAUUGGGACUGAGAUACGGCCCAGACUCCUACGGGAGGCAGCAGUGGGGAAUAUUGCACAAUGGGCGGAAGCCUGAUGCAGCGACGCCGCGUGAGGGAUGACGGCCUUCGGGUUGUAAACCUCUUUCAGCAGGGACGAAGCGUAAGUGACGGUACCUGCAGAAGAAGCACCGGCUAACUAUGUG
Molecule: ribosomal RNA, 467 nt
Filed under: uncultured bacterium
Lineage: Bacteria
Description: partial 16S ribosomal RNA
Rfam family: Bacterial small subunit ribosomal RNA
Source: RNAcentral